UGGGGAAUCUUGCGCAAUGGGCGAAAGCCUGACGCAGCGACGCCGCGUGAGGGAAGAAGGCCUUCGGGUUGUAAACCUCUUUCAGGAGGGACGAAGCUACUCGGGUUAAUAGCCCAGAGGGUGACGGUACCUCCAGAAGAAGCCCCGGCUAACUACGUGCCAGCAGCCGCGGUAAUACGUAGGGGGCAAGCGUUGUCCGGAAUCAUUGGGCGUAAAGCGCGUGUAGGCGGCCAGAUAAGUCCGCUGUGAAAUCUCGAGGCUCAACUUCGAGCUGUCGGUGGAAACUGUCUGGCUAGAGUCCGGAAGAGGAGAAUGGAAUUCCUGGUGUAGCGGUGAAAUGCGCAGAUAUCAGGAAGAACACCCGUGGCGAAGGCGGUUCGUCUGGGACGGUACUGACGCUGAGACGCGAAAGCGUGGGGAGCGAACAGGAUUAGAUACCCUGGUAGUCCACGCCGUAAACGAUGGGAACUAGGUGUGGGGGGUGUCGACUCCUCCGUGCCGAAGCUAACG
This 510-nucleotide ribosomal RNA is filed under the name uncultured Actinomycetes bacterium. RNAcentral describes it as "bacterial SSU rRNA". It matches the Rfam family "Bacterial small subunit ribosomal RNA", at positions 355 to 857 of the family's 1533-position model. The record is from RNAcentral. Lineage: Bacteria; Bacillati; Actinomycetota; Actinomycetes.